Molecule: non-coding RNA, 22 nt
Filed under: Gossypium hirsutum (cotton)
Lineage: Eukaryota; Viridiplantae; Streptophyta; Magnoliopsida; Malvales; Malvaceae
Source: RNAcentral
UACGCCCUUCCCGUUGUUGAUG